This 465-nucleotide ribosomal RNA is filed under the name uncultured bacterium. RNAcentral's name for it is "partial 16S ribosomal RNA". It matches the Rfam family "Bacterial small subunit ribosomal RNA", at positions 28 to 507 of the family's 1533-position model. The record is from RNAcentral.
GACGAACGCUGGCGGCGUGCUUAACACAUGCAAGUCGAGCGAGGCCCCUCCUUCGGGAGGGUGUCCUAGCGGCGAACGGGUGAGUAACACGUGGGCAACCUGCCCUCAGCUCUGGGAUAACUCCGGGAAACCGGGGCUACUACCGGAUACGACCUCCACGGGCAUCUGCGGAGGUGGAAAGUUUUUCGGCUGAGGAUGGGCCCGCGGCCUAUCAGCUAGUUGGUGGGGUAGUGGCCCACCAAGGCGACGACGGGUAGCCGGCCUGAGAGGGCGACCGGCCACACUGGGACUGAGACACGGCCCAGACUCCUACGGGAGGCAGCAGUGGGGAAUAUUGCGCAAUGGGCGAAAGCCUGACGCAGCGACGCCGCGUGAGGGACGAAGGCCUUCGGGUUGUAAACCUCUUUCAGCAGGGACGAAGCGAAAGUGACGGUACCUGCAGAAGAAGCACCGGCCAACUACGUG